AGCCACGCAGUGAGCACAGAGCGAACUAUUCUUUCGCCUUUUACUAAAGAUUACCGUGUGCUCGCUGCUCAUAGUGGCAUACACCAAUUUUUAGAGGGGCUGAUUUCAAUAUAUUUCU
Molecule: small nuclear RNA, 118 nt
Organism: Corylus avellana
Lineage: Eukaryota; Viridiplantae; Streptophyta; Magnoliopsida; Fagales; Betulaceae
Product: U5 spliceosomal RNA
Source: RefSeq, a predicted model, not a curated record